Molecule: non-coding RNA, 5732 nt
Organism: Pelodiscus sinensis (Chinese soft-shelled turtle)
Lineage: Eukaryota; Metazoa; Chordata; Testudines; Trionychidae
Source: RefSeq, a predicted model, not a curated record
UUGUGGAGGGGCAGGAAAUUUCACCCCGGCUGGAAAUAUGUAAAUAUUGGCGAUUAAAAAAAAAAUCCAAGAGGCGUCAGCGACCUGCUGUCUGAGCAUAGUUCCUUAUCCGGGAAUCGCUAGCCUCCCCGCCAUUGGCCGCCGCUGUCACAUGGACUCCUAACUUUGUUCACUUGACAGUAUGUAGGAGGGUUUAGGGAACAGGAAAACGAGGAGGGGGGGAGAGGAAUAAAUUUUAGUAUUUUUGGGGGUGUGUGCGCGUGCAAUUCAAAGAAAUUAAUGGCCAUGAGCUCGUUUUUGAUCAACUCCAACUAUGUGGAUCCCAAAUUCCCACCCUGCGAAGAGUAUUCUCAGAACGAUUACCUUCCCAAUCCCUCUCCGGAAUAUUACCGCAGCCAGAGGCGAGAAAGCACUUUCCAACAUGAGGCGAUGUACCAGCCGCGGUCAGCUUGCAACGAGCAGCCCUACCCGGUGUGUCGGAGCUCCGGCCAACAGCCAGCGGUGCUGUCCCCCCGGGGUCACGUCCAUCCUUCGGCCGGACUUCAGAGCCACCUCUCAGAACCAGAUCUCUGUGAGUCGGUCACCCCCAGCCCUCCACCCUCGUGUAGCCAAAACUCUCUGAACCAAAGCCCAUCUCAUUCUUGCAAAGAGCCAGUAGUUUAUCCCUGGAUGAAAAAAGUCCAUGUAAGCACGGUAAACUCCAGUUGCGCAGGUGGGGAACCGAAACGCUCCCGGACAGCUUAUACCAGGCAGCAAGUCCUGGAACUGGAGAAAGAAUUUCACUACAAUCGCUACCUCACGCGGAGGCGCCGCGUGGAGAUCGCCCACGCUCUAUGCCUGUCCGAGCGCCAGAUCAAAAUCUGGUUCCAGAACAGGAGGAUGAAAUGGAAAAAAGACCAUAAAUUACCAAAUACCAAGAUCAGGUCUAAUGCAGCCAACUCUGCUGGAAGUCUGCAGAUACCAGGGGGCUCUCAGAACCGAGCCCAUGUACCAACUACCGGCCUAUAACUGUGGUGUGUGUGUGUGUGUGUGUCUGUGCGUUUGUGUGUAUGUGUGUAGGAGACACAAGCUACUUUUUAUAUGGUGCAAAAGGGGGCAUCCUUUUUAUUUAUAGAACAGGAGGGGGGACUCAGCUGCAAAACAAACGGAAGCCAGAGACAUGCGGUGGAAAUAGCCGUGUUCAAAUUUGGCUAAAAUCCUUGUUUCAUCUUGAAUCACGCCAAAACGCUGCCCCAAUGUGUCAUGUUUACUACCCCGUACAAAGGAUGGCCCUUAUGCUGGCGAUUACCUCGACAACCUGUGCUCGCUUUAAUAAAUGAGGCGCAGUGUCUUCAAGACGAACUGAUUUUUUUUUUUUUUUUUGCUGCCUCCCAGCCACAAAGCGAAAGUUUCUAUUCAGCUCUCCAAGGGCACAGCAGCUCUGGCGCUGCAGGGCAGCCCUACAGACCAAAAACAAACAAACAAGCCGGCGUCCACCGCUGCUCUAGCGUGAGGACCGAGGAGAAGGAAAAGGUGUUGCACAUGGUCCUGAGCAGGAGAGAGAAGGGACUGGCACAAUUUUAAACCAACCGAGUGACAUUUGGGAGGUGGGAGUGGGGAAGGGGACCAACAUCAGGGAGGCUGAUGUAAGAAACCCCCUGCCAUUUUUUAGUCCAGCGGGUUAAUUACCUCACUUGUAAAUGUGGGGCGAGAGAGGGGGACGUAUUUAGUUUAGAAACUUGAUGAUCAAAUAAUGCUACCUGAAUGUAAAUGUUCAUCAAAGGGAGUGGGUGAAAGAGAGGGCUCUUUGUUAAAAAAAAAUGCUUCUCCAAUAAGACUCAAUCCAUUUUUGUCCUCAGACUGUGAAUCAAAAAGGCAAGGUAGGAAUCUCCUUCUCUCUUAGAUGCAAAAGGGCAUAUGAAAUUCGUACAAAUUUAUAUAUAUCUAUAUAUUUUCUUUUCGUGUUCUAUAGUACUUGACAUUCCGAGCUGAUGUGAUUUCAAAGAACUUUUGGAAUCUUCGUCCCCCCCCCCUUCGUCCAGUGGAAUUACCUCCCAUUGUUCUUUGUGCUAUUCAUGCUCACUUUGUACAUAGCAGAACAAAAGCAAAUGGAAAUAAAAUGUUCGUGGCGACUAUAAACGGUGUGUGUUCAAAAUAGAUUUUUUUUUGUAAACAACAACAACAAAAAAGCACGUGUGUUAUUUGAUGGUGAUUUCUGUCAGUGACCCCCUCGCUCAUGAAAACAGAACAUGUUUGACUCUAGGAUAGCUCAGCCUUAAGUACAGCGAAGCCUUACAUAUUAUGAUUUAUUUAUUCUAAGCACAUAUGAAAAUGUCUGGUGUGUGGUGUGUUCACAAACUGGUUUUAACUGUGUGGGUCAUUAAAGCUCCACUGUGUAUUAAAGAACGAAAGCAGCAAUGUAUUUCUCAGGAACUGCUUCCUCCUUUUUAAAAAUCUCCUUCUGCAAGGUACUUAAUACAGUAAUGAGUGUAAUUUUUGCACAGAUGUUUCUCGGUGUUCGCAGGUUUUCUGUGUAUUUUUAUAUUACAAAGGAGCUGGCUCUGCAAUAGCUCAAACUCUGACAAGCAAAUAGAUAAUCAAGAAGACAAAUGGCUUCUUUUGUGAGUCACAGCUCUUGUAUUAAUUUUCAUUUUCUUGCUCAUAGAAAGUAUCGAAAAUACUUUUCGGGGCGAAAUAACAUUCCAGUUCUAAGUUACCAUUAAAAAGGGGGGGGGGGGGACGGACAGGAGGCCUCUAGAUCAUAGAAAGAAAAUCAUAGUUUUUAGAUGCAUUCCCUAUGAGAAAAUGGGUUUUGUAUAUUUGUGAGAAUUUAUGAAUUUCUCUUAGGCUCUCAGUAAUGAUUAAAACACCCCACAAAGAACAAAAUAGAACAAAGACCUGGCUUAGAAUAUUUAAAGUGGCCAUUUCGGUGCUGAAGGUCCUAAGCAUUUUAACUCCGACCCCACGCUUCAACUGUGUUCAAAAGUUGUUCCUGUCUCCAUAAAUCGUCCGUAAUGUCUUUUAUCCUAUUGACUUUUUAACAGUUUGUAAGAAAUAUUUAUAUGGUCAUGUGAUACCGAGCCGCUACACGUCUUGUCCUGGAAAAAUGGAGUUGUGUAUGUGUUUGAUUAACUUUUGCCCUUUUAAAGGCAAAAAGAGGAAACCUUCAGAGUUUUUAUUUCGAUGAGGGGUGGUGAGGACUGUAUUUAUUUUGAUGGCUGUUUCUCCCCCCCUUUGAUCUGCAUGCUAUGUAGAGGCGAUGUAAUUUUCAAAUGGAGGCUAUGCUUUUAAGGGUACCAAAACGGGUCUUAAAAAGCAUAUGUUGAUAGGAAUGCAACUUCUAUAGAACAAAUUCAAAGCUGGAAAGUAUGAAUAGAAUUGAAGGGGGGAGAAAAGAAGACUUCUAUAGGACCUAAAAGUUCACAGCCAUUAUAAGGAGACAGAAGCCAAGAAAAAUGCGAGAAUUAUACAGAAAAUCAUUAAUCACUUCUUUUCUUUAAAUACUUAUCCUUUGCCCAUUGUUAUUCAACAGCAAAUCUCCGCAGACCGUCUGUUGGGAAAAAAGUACCCGGAGUCCUACAAAAAUCUUCACGGGGAAUAAUAACAAUAAAAAAAUCUGGAUCAUAAAGUUGAAAACUUUUUUCUUUUUUUUGGAAAACAAAACGGAACAAACAACAACUCCCCCGCUUGGGAAGAAUCCACCCAAACCAUGAAUACCGUCUAUGGGGCGUUGAAGAAAGGAUGUGGGAAUGCACAAGUUCUCUUUCUUUCUCAAACUGCUGCGCUGCUUCAUUUGUGCUGGGCCAGACAACUGAGAAUUGGUGAGUGUUCUUAAACGUGAUGCCCCUGGUCAUAAUAAAAUAAAAUAAAAUAAAAUAAAACUCUUAGAACUGGAAACCAUUCAUUUUUUAAAUGAGAGACAAGUUGUUUGCCUUUCACCAGAUUUAUAAUGACGAUUUUGUGCCUUACCUUUUCUGUGAAGUAUUUUCGAUUUGCUACUGGCUUGUCUUUACAUUUGGUCAUUUCUGGUUAUAAUUUUGGGUGGACAUUGUAAAUGGAGAAUAUUUUCUGGUUUCCUUUUGAAGGGAAGUCUAAAAGGACCAGGACUGCAAAAUUCGGUGCUGAACUUGUGAAGUUUAACCCCCUUCCCCCAAACGGCAACAAAACGUAUAAGCAGAAAUGCAAGGCGAUAUUAAACCUAAUAUCUACUUACUAGACACUCAGUGUAUAGAAAUACAUCUUGGCAUGAUUUUUUUUAAAAAAAGUUCUCCAGUCAUUUAAAAAAGAACACAAAGUUGGUACUUCAGAAAAGUUCUUUGCAGAGCCCCGGGCAGACUCUGGUCUGAUAUUCUAGAUACUCGAUUAUUAAUCAUUGGAGAUCCCAUCUGCGAAAAUCUACCGAGUAUUUGUUUUUUCUAGGAGGGGUUUUUAAAAAGAAUAAUCCAUAAAUACUAUUGGUGACUUCUCCAUGCCGCGCUGCAAGGCGGGUGUUCCAAAAUAGGCUCUCUUCUCUGGCUGAAGACGUAUGUCCAAGUAGGUCUUAAAAAGUCAGAUAGAGAAGGGGGGAGGGGAAUCUCACAGUGAAAAAUGAGACGCUGAGGAUCCAGCUCACAACUCAGGUCUGAAAACUGCUGUUAGAACAAGAGGUGGGAACACUUUGCCCCUUAGCAGCCGGCACCUGGACCGUCCUUUCCACCAGACCCAUCCCGAAAGUAAGUUGUGGCGAACUCUGGAUUUGGCUCCCUUCGCCAUGGGCCCUUCUCCAAAGGUGCUGCCAGCAGCGCACACGGGUCCCCCCUUCCGAGCGGGGUGCAAGCAGCUUUCGUGGCCAGCUUGAAAUUCCCUAUUCAGCACUUCACCCAGAGGCGCCGGGGGCGCGAAUGAAAGGCGAGCACACCAGUGCAAACUGGAACAAAACCAGCGGAGGGGGGGAAAGUGCAGACAGCUACAUUUUUCCUCCCACCACCCCCUUUGCAAUCUUGCACCUUCGCCCGAAAGCAGCUGGGGAAAGUUCCGGCUUGGAGCGGCAAUUGUGCCUGCUCCAGGAAGCAUACCUAGUGAGAACAGCAGCGUCUGGGCGCAUCUUCCUAUUCACAACCCCCCUCCCCACCUUUAUUGUUCAACACCUACCCGACUUCGCCUCCCCCCUGCGAUUUUACUCCCUGCCCCUUUAGAAGUGCAGAUCCCACCCUCCUCUCCACUGCCCGGCUACAGGAGGUGCGGUGGGGGAGGAAAGGUAACCAUCGCUCACAGAACUUUUGACACGCAGACUUAAUAUUAAAGUCCCCCCCCCCCCAGCUGUAGGCUUUGGGUUGAAGCCACACCACGGACUCACUCCCCCCUCCCUUGCCCCCACCCGUCUCCUCUCUCUUAAAAAAACCAGUUUCCCAUCUAGCGGGUGAUACCCUCCUUGGCCCCACCCCUAAGAAGUGUAUUUCCUAAUUAUUCCAUUUUAGGGACUCUUCGGAGGUAGAGCCAGUGGCCGGGAGAGACAAGGAGAAUUCUCCCUGAGACGGGGUGUGGGGGGAAGGGAAGGGUAGGGCGACGUGGGAAGGGUUUAUUAGCAUAAAUUGACACCAAAUUGUUAAACACGUGAACCGAAGGGGAGCUUUGCUAUCUUUCCGUCUAGGCCUCGGUCCACCACGUCUGCAAUUAGCAUAAUUUUUCACUAGUGACGCUGUUUGGAAAGGCUGUUGGCUUUGCCCGGCGCUCCAAAGCAAAUCUUUUCCAUUUAUUUAUUUAUUUAUUUCUCU